Molecule: long non-coding RNA, 662 nt
Organism: Passer domesticus (house sparrow)
Lineage: Eukaryota; Metazoa; Chordata; Aves; Passeriformes; Passeridae
Exons: 3
Source: RefSeq, a predicted model, not a curated record
AAAAAUUAAAAAAAAGGGAAGAAGUUGUGUUCUUGUUUAGUUCUUUAUGCACUUCUGGUUUCUACCAGCUCUUCCUUGGCUGUAUUUGGAAGUCUCUUGUGUGGAAAAAAGAAAAUGGAAUCAUGUAUUUAAUAGAGGUGGAAUGAAUCAUUUAGCAAGGCUGGAUCCAUUUGACUGUGGGUUGGACAUGCUGACAUGGAUUAAUGAGACACUCUAAAGACCAGUUUGCAGAUCUUACCUGCUCCAUGGGUGGCUUGUCAUUUGAACCACCAGAAGUGAGCCACGGUCCCAUUUUUCACUGCUAUUCCCAACAAAUGAACCAAGAGCAGUAAAUCCCAUCAAAGAGAUAAUCUUGGGACAGAGGUAAAGAGAAGAUAUUUUUCCCACUCUGAACCCUGCUGCAGCUCUGCAGUGCUUUUUGUGUCAGAUUACACCUGGGCCACGUUGGAGGGACCAGGACUGCAUUCAGCAGUUUGCUUGUAUGGUGCUCAUCAAGAUUGUCCCUCUCCUGCAGAGAGGAACUGUGAAGUUUGCCAUGAAAUUGGCCCUGUAUGGGAGAGUUGUGAUAUCUAAGUGCUAGUUUGAGUGUUUGAGCCUCCUCUGUUACACCAGGCUGCAGUUAAUUCUACUGAAUAUGUUACAGUGGCAUCCUGAGGGGUGUU